CGGGGGGGGCAAGCGUUGUUCGGAAUUACUGGGCGUAAAGGGCCAGUAGGCGGCCAACUAAGUCGGAUGUGAAAUCCCCAGGCUCAACCUGGGAACUGCAUCCGAUACUGGAUGGCUUGAAUUCGGGAGAGGGAUGCAGAAUUCCAGGUGUAGCGGUGAAAUGCGUAGAUAUCUGGAGGAAUACCGGUGGCGAAGGCGGCAUCCUGGACCGACAUUGAUGCUGAACGGCGAAAGCUAGGGGAGCAAACGGGAUUAGAUACCCCGGUAGUCCUAGCCCUAAACGAUGAAUGCUUGGUGUAACGGGUAUCGAUCCCUGUUGUGCCGAAGCUAACGCAUUAAGCAUUCCGCCUGGGGAGUACGGUCGCAAGGCCG
RNAcentral lists this ribosomal RNA (372 nucleotides) under uncultured organism. RNAcentral's name for it is "bacterial SSU rRNA". It matches the Rfam family "Bacterial small subunit ribosomal RNA", at positions 526 to 896 of the family's 1533-position model. The record is from RNAcentral.